Molecule: ribosomal RNA, 429 nt
Filed under: uncultured bacterium
Lineage: Bacteria
Description: bacterial SSU rRNA
Rfam family: Bacterial small subunit ribosomal RNA
Source: RNAcentral
GUCGAGAAUUUUUCGCAAUGGGGGAAACCCUGACGGAGCGACGCCGCGUGGAGGAUGAAGGUCUUCGGAUUGUAAACUCCUGUCAUUUGAGAACAAGUGUUUCCGAGUAACUAUCGGGGACUUGAUAGUAUCAGAAGAGGAAGAGACGGCUAACUCUGUGCCAGCAGCCGCGGUAAUACAGAGGUCUCAAGCGUUGUUCGGAUUCAUUGGGCGUAAAGGGAGCGUAGGCGGUCGGGUAAGUCGGAUGUGAAAUCCUGGGGCUCAACCUCAGAACUGCAUUCGAUACUGCUUGGCUAGAGGACUGGAGAGGUGAGUGGAAUUCACGGUGUAGCAGUGAAAUGCGUAGAUAUCGUGAGGAAGACCAGCGGCGAAGGCGGCUCACUGGACAGUUUCUGACGCUGAUGCUCGAAGGCCAGGGGAGCAAACGGG